This 1241-nucleotide long non-coding RNA is filed under the name Rattus norvegicus (Norway rat). Its description in RNAcentral is "long non-coding RNA NONRATT003759". The record is from RNAcentral. Lineage: Eukaryota; Metazoa; Chordata; Mammalia; Rodentia; Muridae.
GACGAAUAGCUGACAUAGGAAAUGCAUUCUACAACGCUCAGUGUUAGAGUCGCCCACUCCAAUGCUGGGAACUCUGUGUCCUGUAUUACUUUGCAGAUUUAUUUUCUGGAAGUUAUGCCAUCUUAGCUGUGUAGGGCUUGCUAUGAUUAGUCACCGGCUUCCAUAAAGGCAAGGCGGGCCAGGCACCUUCUUGGCUUUGUUCCAGCCCUGUGGAGUUUAUGAAUCUGUUGGCAGAACAUCUUCCCUUAAGGGCUCAGUUACCUUCCAGAAGAUGGAUGGGCGGGCCUGUGUCCUGCCCACCUGGGCUCACUCCUCCCAACCCUCCAGGGUUCCCAUGGCCAGGGAACCACAGUGUCCCUUUCCGUGAUGUCAUCAUCGGCGUGUCAGUCCCAGUAGAGAUGAGGCUUGGAAGUUUCUGAAAUAUAAACUAUAUGAACACACCAUGUUUUCUGAGAAGUGUCCCUCUCCCAUAGACACACUUUACUGAAAAGAUAGUUGAGUUUCAUUUGUGGGCAGUGGACAGGGUAGGCCACAGUACGUAAAACUAAGCCAAAAACUACUUGUUCCUUUGUGUUCCUGCUCAGUCAAACUCCAGCUCCUUCUUUAGAGUUAAAAGAAGCCUAGGACAGGAAGUCCUUUGACUCUGUACAUUAUGGACACUCUGGGGAAGUGUCCUCCCUGUAAGGUUACAACCCUAGCAGGACUUGUGCCUGAUGUCACGCAGUCCUGGUUCCAUGCAUGGAGUUUAAAAACCAUCGAAACAGAUUUCUAUCUUUGGGCUAGAAGUCACAUGCGAGAGACUCUGGGGCAAAGUCAAAGCGAACCUGAGCCAAUAUCAAAAUGACUUUCUCCUUGCUUCUUCUCGUUAGCCCUGUGCGCUUUCUUGACACUCCUGACGGUGGGAGCUAGUUCACUUGUCAUUUCUGGGGAUUGUCAGUUAGACUACGAAGUGUUCUAGCACUCACUCGAACCUCAUCAGAUUGAAGAGCUAAUGGGACAGGUCCUGCCCUUGUCAUAUCCUAGAGGGGCUCUUUGUGGUAGGUUUGGGGCUGCUAAAAAUGGCCACACUUCACCGGCACUAUGGUGCAUGUAGUGGAUAAGACACAUACCUGGUUAACUGAAGAUAACCAGAUGGUUGCCUCUUACCCAGACUGUCUGCCGUGUCAAACUUGUGUUUGAAGUGUAGGCUGUAGACUGUUUCUGGAUGAUAGUCUAAACCAGACCAAAAAAAAAAAAAAAAA